GCCCCUGUAGCGCAAUGGAUAGCGCAUUAGCCUCCGGAGCUAAUGGUACAGGUUCGACUCCUGUCAGGGGCA
RNAcentral lists this transfer RNA (72 nucleotides) under Candidatus Omnitrophota bacterium. RNAcentral describes it as "tRNA-Arg". It matches the Rfam family "tRNA". Rfam says of the family: Transfer RNA (tRNA) molecules are approximately 80 nucleotides in length. Lineage: Bacteria; Pseudomonadati; Candidatus Omnitrophota. The record is from RNAcentral.